GAUGAACGCUGGCGGCGUGCCUAAUACAUGCAAGUCGAGCGAACAGACGAGGAGCUUGCUCCUCUGACGUUAGCGGCGGACGGGUGAGUAACACGUGGAUAACCUACCUAUAAGACUGGGAUAACUUCGGGAAACCGGAGCUAAUACCGGAUAAUAUAUUGAACCGCAUGGUUCAAUAGUGAAAGACGGUUUUGCUGUCACUUAUAGAUGGUUCCGCGCCGCAUUAGCUAGUUGGUAAGGUAACGGCUUACCAAGGCAACGAUGCGUAGCCGACCUGAGAGGGUGAUCGGCCACACUGGAACUGAGACACGGUCCAGACUCCUACGGGAGGCAGCAGUAGGGAAUCUUCCGCAAUGGGCGAAAGCCUGACGGAGCAACGCCGCGUGAGUGAUGAAGGUCUUCGGAUCGUAAAACUCUGUUAUUAGGGAAGAACAAAUGUGUAAGUGACUAUGCACGUCUUGACGGUACCUAAUCAGAAAGCCACGGCUAACUACGUG
Molecule: ribosomal RNA, 497 nt
Filed under: uncultured bacterium
Lineage: Bacteria
Description: partial 16S ribosomal RNA
Rfam family: Bacterial small subunit ribosomal RNA
Source: RNAcentral